UUCAAACAUUCCCCAGAAUGGUUCUUCCCAUAAUUUCCACACUACACAACUUGCUUCUUAGCUCCUUCCUGCUUCACCUGAAUACUUCCAAAAUUGCUUCCCUUCCUUUUGCUAUCACCACCGCUACUCCCACUAGUAACUUCCACCUUCCUAGUCCCCUCGACCUUACCCUUGUUCUUUCUCUCCUUGUUGUAGAGGCUCAUGGCCUCA
Molecule: long non-coding RNA, 210 nt
Filed under: Panax ginseng (ginseng)
Lineage: Eukaryota; Viridiplantae; Streptophyta; Magnoliopsida; Apiales; Araliaceae
Description: long non-coding RNA (PGIN_LNC010371)
Source: RNAcentral